RNAcentral lists this ribosomal RNA (213 nucleotides) under uncultured bacterium. Its description in RNAcentral is "partial 16S ribosomal RNA". It matches the Rfam family "Bacterial small subunit ribosomal RNA", at positions 1288 to 1500 of the family's 1533-position model. The record is from RNAcentral.
UCAGUUCGGAUUGUAGGCUGCAUCUCGCCUACAUGAAGUUGGAAUCGCUAGUAAUCGCGAAUCAGAAUGUCGCGGUGAAUACGUUCCCGGGUCUUGUACACACCGCCCGUCACACCACGAGAGUUUACAACACCCGAAGUCAGUGGCCUAACCGCAAGGAGGGAGCUGCCUAAGGUGGGGUAGAUGAUUGGGGUGAAGUCGUAACAAGGUACC